CUGAACCAGCCAAGUAGCGUGAAGGAUGACUGCCCUAUGGGUUGUAAACUUCUUUUAUAUGGGAAUAAAGUUUUCCACGUGUGGAAUUUUGUAUGUACCAUAUGAAUAAGGAUCGGCUAACUCCGUGCCAGCAGCCGCGGUAAUACGGAGGAUCCGAGCGUUAUCCGGAUUUAUUGGGUUUAAAGGGAGCGUAGGUGGACAGUUAAGUCAGUUGUGAAAGUUUGCGGCUCAACCGUAAAAUUGCAGUUGAUACUGGCUGUCUUGAGUACAGUAGAGGUGGGCGGAAUUCGUGGUGUAGCGGUGAAAUGCUUAGAUAUCACGAAGAACUCCGAUUGCGAAGGCAGCUCACUGGACUGCAACUGACACUGAUGCUCGAAAGUGUGGGUAUCAAACAGGAUUAGAUACCCUGGUAGUCCACACAGUAAACGAUGAAUACUCGCUGUUUGCGAUAUACAGUAAGCGGCCAAGCGAAAGCAUUAAGUAUUCCACCUGGGGAGUACGCCGGCAACGGUGAAACUCAAAGGAAUUGACGGGGGCCCGCACAAGCGGAGGAACAUGUGGUUUAAUUCGAUGAUACGCGAGGAACCUUACCCGGGCUUAAAUUGCAUUUGAAUAAUCUGGAAACAGGUUAGCCGCAAGGCAAAUGUGAAGGUGCUGCAUGGUUGUCGUCAGCUCGUGCCGUGAGGUGUCGGCUUAAGUGCCAUAACGAGCGCAACCCUUAUCUUUAGUUACUAACAGGUCAUGCUGAGGACUCUAGAGAGACUGCCGUCGUAAGAUGUGAGGAAGGUGGGGAUGACGUCAAAUCAGCACGGCCCUUACGUCCGGGGCUACACACGUGUUACAAUGGGGGGUACAGAAGGCAGCUACCUGGUGACAGGAUGCUAAUCCCAAAAGCCUCUCUCAGUUCGGAUCGAAGUCUGCAACCCGACUUCGUGAAGCUGGAUUCGCUAGUAAUCGCGCAUCAGCCAUGGCGCGGUGAAUACGUUCCCGGGCCUUGUACACACCGCCCGUCAAGCCAUGAAAGCCGGGGGUACCUGAAGUACGUAACCGCAAGGAGCGUCCUAGGGUAAAACUGGUAAUUGGGGCUAAGUCGUAACAAGGUAGCCGUACCGGAAGGUGCGGCUGGAACACCUCCUUUCU
RNAcentral lists this ribosomal RNA (1140 nucleotides) under Bacteroides thetaiotaomicron. Its description in RNAcentral is "bacterial SSU rRNA". It matches the Rfam family "Bacterial small subunit ribosomal RNA", at positions 383 to 1533 of the family's 1533-position model. The record is from RNAcentral. Lineage: Bacteria; Pseudomonadati; Bacteroidota; Bacteroidia; Bacteroidales; Bacteroidaceae.